CCUGAUAGCUCAGUGGGUAAAGAAUCUGCCUGUAAUACAGGAGACCCAGGUUUAAUUCCUGGGUCAGGA
Transfer RNA from Ovis aries (sheep), 69 nucleotides. It matches the Rfam family "tRNA". From Rfam's summary of the family: Transfer RNA (tRNA) molecules are approximately 80 nucleotides in length. Their secondary structure includes four short double-helical elements and three loops (D, anti-codon, and T loops). NCBI's taxonomy places the organism in Eukaryota, Metazoa, Chordata, Mammalia, Artiodactyla, Bovidae. The record is from Rfam.